CUCCGCGGCCAAAAAUAACUGCCCGAAGGCCGGGGCGCCAAGUUCGUCCAGCGGAAAAAGGCCACAAAAACGGGUGGGCUAUAGCCUUGGGGGGUGGGGCUGGCCGACUUCAUCCGUCGGACUCUGAAUGCCGCGAGACUUUACGAGGGGCCUCUUUGUGCCAAAAAUAGGCUGCGGGCAAAGCCACGCCCAAAAAUAACCGCCCGAAGGCCGGGGCGCCAAGUUCGUCCAGCGGAAAAAGGCCACAAAAACGGGUGGGCUAUAGCCUUGGGGGGUGGGGCAGGCCAACUUCGUCUGCCGGACUCGGAAUGCCGCGAGACUUUGCGGGAGGCCUCCGUUCGCCAAAAAUAGGCCGCGGACAAAACCGCGCCCAAAAAUAACCACCUGAAGGCCGGGGCGCCAAUUCGUCCAACGGAAAAAGGCCACAAAAACGGUUGGGCUAUAGCCUUGGGGGGUGGGGCUGGCCAACUUCGUCCGCCGGACUCGGAAUGCCCCGAGACUUUUCGAGCGGCCUCCGUGUACCAAAAGUAGGCCGUGGGCAAAUCCGCGCCCAAAAAUAACCGCCCGAAGGCCGGGGCGCCAAGUUCGUCCAGCGGAAAAAGCUCGCAAACAUGUGUGGGCUAUAGCCUUGGGGGGUGGGGCUGGCCAACUUCGUCCGCCGGACUCGGAAUGCCGCGAGACUUUGCG
This 687-nucleotide long non-coding RNA is filed under the name Citrus x clementina. RNAcentral describes it as "Citrus clementina (C. clementina) long non-coding RNA (CCLE_LNC006110)". The record is from RNAcentral. Lineage: Eukaryota; Viridiplantae; Streptophyta; Magnoliopsida; Sapindales; Rutaceae.